UUCCCUCCUCUCUCUCUCUAGGCCGAUCGUGAGCACGGUUGAGGACUUCGUCGCCGACGUCGCGCCGCGAGCCGUUCGAGCGCACGUGUUGCCGGGGCGCUGCGAGGAGGCCGGGCGAGGGUGCGUCUUCGCCGUUCCUGUCGCCGCACCGCAGUUCAUCGCUGUUGAGAAUUCCAGCGUCAACCAUUGGUGUUUCAGCUCGUUCUCUGUGUAGGAGUGUCGAAACGCGACGAAAUUUGGCGUGCUAGAUUCGCGACUUCGAGACGAAGAUUCUGAGCCCAAGAUCGUGAUUUUUGGAGCAGGUUCCAGCGUCGACCAUUGGUGUUUCGGCUCGUUCUCCGCGUAGGAGCGUCGGAUCGCGACGAGACUUGGUUCAUUGGAUUCGGGACUUCGAGAGGAAUCCACAGAGCCCUCACUUGCAAUUUUUGGUCAAGCUUGGCGUUGGCUUGGCGACCGGACUUGGAGAUCCCCGAUUAAUCCAGCAGAGUUCCUUUUAGGCCGAGGCUUCGUUUGCUGCCAGGAGAUAGCACUUAAGGUGGGUUACAUCGGUUUUGACUCCUAAGUUCUAAUCGUCGACAUGUAUAAAUGUUGAUUGUUGCUAUAGCCUUUUCUAGCUCGAAUUCGUGGAUUUAA
Long non-coding RNA from Ananas comosus (pineapple), 633 nucleotides. RefSeq lists it as uncharacterized. NCBI's taxonomy places the organism in Eukaryota, Viridiplantae, Streptophyta, Magnoliopsida, Poales, Bromeliaceae. The record is from RefSeq and is a predicted model, not a curated record. The transcript has 4 exons.